AAUCAUAUUGUUCUGGAAAAAUGUUAUUUUAGGAACAACUUGUCUUAUACGAACAUCAGUUUUAACCCUUAUAAAACUAAAAGUCAUUUCCACAGAUCAUCAUAAAUGUUUUUACUUCAGUGCAACCAAAACAAACAAAAACAAAGAUAAUUUAAUUGUGAUUCCGUUCGUUUUCCUUGUUCUGUUUUUGCUCGAAGACGACCGGCAGGAUUGACAAAAACACGGCUCACGGACAGAUUUUUCAACCACAAGUUGUUGACUGGAACCAGAACAAAAUGUGUCUCAUCGCUUUUCAAUUUAAAGAAUUUGGCUGCCAGAAAGUGAACUACCAUAAACUGGCCGGAAGUACAUUGUGGGAAAAUUCAUUUUCGGAAGUCGCCCAAAAACAUUGCAUUAGCAGGUUCUGUGAAAUGCAUUUUGCUGCAGUAACGGUUAUCAAACCCUGGAUCACGAGACCAAUUAAAAGCCGAGCAUUGCCCUGGAGCUGAAUCAAACGAUGUUUCUACGCUUUCCGAAUCAGAGCCGGAUAGUAGAUUAAAACGAAAGAGUUAUAGAGGGAUGCCGGACGAAGAAAAUAUUUAAAAAAUAUAUUUGUCGUUUUGGAUUUCAUUUAUAUUUUGAAACUUGUAGAUUGUGAAAUUAUUUAAAUAACUAAAUAAUGAAGAGUAAAACUUCUAAAUUGUUGUAUGAAUUCUCUGCUACCGAACCAUUACAUAAAAUAAUGGGGCUUCUACGGGAAACGGCUACUACCCAUGUCGUCACAAAUAUUCUACCCUCAUCUGUCUCGGGCCCACUUCUUGCUGUAUUCUAACUAGACACAUUCAUUGUUCUGUCCGGUUGUGAUCGGAUGUGCUUAGAAUCACAUUCCGGCUAAUCUGCUUUCCAGGAAUGACACUUUCUCCAAAACGAUGAUGAUGUUUCAGGAAUCUUGCAAGCAAUGCAUAUCUAGCAGCUCAAUAUUAUCAAGCUCGGGGGAUCCCGUUCGAUAGCCUACAUCCGCCCAUGAAUGUGCGAAAUAUUUAACUAUAAAAUGAUAUGAUUUUUAAAAUGAAAUGAUUACUUUUCCAACAAAAAGCUUACUUUUAAUUUUUUCCACCAGAAAGAAGAAUCUUAAUUAAAUUUGUUCAUAAAUGAGUCAAGUUUUCUUUUCUUUUUUUCAUGUGCUUUUUGACAU
Molecule: long non-coding RNA, 1174 nt
Organism: Uranotaenia lowii
Lineage: Eukaryota; Metazoa; Arthropoda; Insecta; Diptera; Culicidae
Exons: 3
Source: RefSeq, a predicted model, not a curated record